ACUGGUGUGAGACAUCACAUCAAUGGUUCUCUCCCCUCUCUUGUUGCCUUGUGAAGGUGUAUCAAUUCAAGGCUUCAUCCCAUUUUUCUAUGAAGUUUGGCGUACGUGCGAAGUAGAGGAUUUAUGGAUUUAGACCUACGUAAGGCUUUGGAUUCAAAAUCUUUAAAGAUUUGAUUUUUAUUCUACUGUGUAUCAUUUAAAAAUUUAAUUUUUAUUAAGUUAUUAUA
RNAcentral lists this long non-coding RNA (227 nucleotides) under Elaeis guineensis (African oil palm). Its description in RNAcentral is "long non-coding RNA (EGUI_LNC028504)". The record is from RNAcentral. Lineage: Eukaryota; Viridiplantae; Streptophyta; Magnoliopsida; Arecales; Arecaceae.